CCUACGGGCGGCAGCAGUGAGGAAUAUUGGUCAAUGGACGCGAGCCUGAACCAGCCAAGUCGCGUGAGGGAAGACGGCCCUAUGGAUUGUAAACCUCUUUUGUCGGGGGGCAAAAGACGACACGCGUGGCGGUCCGAGAGUAUCCGAAGAAAAAGCAUCGGCUAACUCCGUGCCAGCAGCCGCGGUAAUACGGAGGAUGCGAGCGUUAUCCGGAUUUAUUGGGUUUAAAGGGUGCGCAGGCGGAAGAUCAAGUCAGCGGUAAAAUUUAGAGGCUCAACCCCUUCGAGCCGUUGAAACUGGUUGUCUUGAGAUGUCGAGCGGUAUGCGGAAUGAGUAGUGUAGCGGUGAAAUGCUUAGAUAUUGCGCAGAACUCCGAUUGCGAAGGCAGCAUACCGGCGGCGAUCUGACGCUGAGGCACGAAAGCGUGGGUAUCGAACAGGAUUAGAUACCCCUGUAGUC
RNAcentral lists this ribosomal RNA (459 nucleotides) under uncultured bacterium. RNAcentral's name for it is "partial 16S ribosomal RNA". It matches the Rfam family "Bacterial small subunit ribosomal RNA", at positions 338 to 795 of the family's 1533-position model. The record is from RNAcentral.